This is a non-coding RNA of Parasteatoda tepidariorum (common house spider), 1096 nucleotides long. The record is from RefSeq and is a predicted model, not a curated record. Lineage: Eukaryota; Metazoa; Arthropoda; Arachnida; Araneae; Theridiidae.
UAUUUACUUUAUUCUUUACCUUAAUGCUUUAAAAUCUGAUGAAACAAAUAUAUGUCUCCUCAGACAUUACAAGUGGACUGUGGGACUAAAUCUUAACACUCCAUCAUGUUAACAUUAGAUUUGCCCAUAAAAAUCUUUUGAAGUUCUCUCCUUCUAUUAGAAGGACUGGCAGCACUUGUAAAGUUUUCAUGGCGGCAUAGCUUUGAAGAAAUCACCUGUACAUGAAGUUUUAUGCAUCAUUUUGUGAGGGAAAUAACUGAAAAAGGGCCAAAAAAUUGAAUAAUAUAAUAUAAAUGUUAUUUAUAUACUUUAAUUUGCAUGAGUUUGAAAAAUUAUUAUUUUAUUAUCAUCUGUCACCGUUGAGACUACAUACGUCUCACUCAAAAAAACUAAUGGGACAUCAGUGUCCCAGGUUCUGCUUGCAAAAUGUGAUUCUAGAUUUUAAAAAUAUUAAUGACAAAAAAAACGUGCUGCCAAUGGAGCAACUUUCUCUAUAAAAAAUUAGAAGUCUAUUUUGAAAGUGUUAAGCUAAAAGUUAUACAUCUAUUUUACAGAUAGUUUUAACAGAAGCAUACAGAUAUUACAGAAAAACUGACGUAAAAGAAGACAAUGACAUUUAUUUUUUGGGAUGGAAAGUUCCAUUUAUGUUCCAGAGAGUUGAUGUGCAAGCCAGAUUUCAAUUGCAGCAAUGCUGAAUAUUCUCACUUUUAUGUCGAAAAUUUCUCUUGCACAAACAAGGAUUUGGAUGACGAAGAAGAUCUGAGGUAUUAUUUUUAUAUUAUUAAUAUAAUAUUAAAUAAUCUUUAAUCUGAAAUACACCCGAUCCUGAACUCUUUUUACACCUUAAUGAUAGGAAAUCAAAUAAAAAAAUAUUAUUUAAAUUAAAAAUAAAACACGUAAACGUAAAUAUAACAAACCAAUUUUUUUAAACAUUUCUGUGUUCAUAUUCUAUUACAUUACUUUUCCCCUUCAAAUUUUAGCAUUUCUCUACAGUUUUUACAUCGGGUGUUCUUUUUAUAUCGGGGGUUCACUCUCAGUAUAUCUAUAGAAUACCUGCAAAAUUUUGAAGUUUGAAACUAGUUUAGAAGUUUAGAAA